CGAGCCCCGCAGCGGCCCGGCACCCCCGGAGGCCGCCAGGGCGGGGUGUACCCGGGCGCCCAUCUGUUCGCCAAAGCCUCGAUGUCCCUAUGCCUGACCCUUGACCCUCGCCCCGGAAGGUGACUUGGAAGUUCCGGCUCCGUCGCUAGGAAACGGGCCAGCCAGACGCGAGGGGCGGGGCUCCUGGUCUCGCUCCGGAGUGUGCGGAGCCAGGAGAAUGAGCAGUAAGAAGGGGGUCCCCAAAGCACCCUCAGCGAAGUGGCAGGCAUCCCUCCGCAAAGCCAAGCCCAGAGCAGCUGCUGGGAAGCCCGGAGAGAACGGCCAGGCGCAGAGGAAGACCGGCCAGCAGGCGAAGGCGCCCGCGCUGCCCGCGUG
Long non-coding RNA from Pteropus alecto (black flying fox), 375 nucleotides. RefSeq lists it as uncharacterized. The record is from RefSeq and is a predicted model, not a curated record. The transcript is spliced from 3 exons. Lineage: Eukaryota; Metazoa; Chordata; Mammalia; Chiroptera; Pteropodidae.